GUAGGGAAUAUUGGGCAAUGGAUGAAAGUCUGACCCAGCCAUGCCGCGUGCCGGAUGAAGGCGCUCAGCGUUGUAAACGGCUUUUAUUCGGGAAGAAGAGCAGGGAUGCGUCCCUGUGUGACGGUACCGAAUGAAUAAGCACCGGCUAACUCCGUGCCAGCAGCCGCGGUAAUACGGAGGGUGCGAGCGUUGUCCGGAUUUAUUGGCUUUAAAGGGUGCGUAGUUGGCCAAAUAAGUCAGUGGUGAAAUACGGUUGCUCAACAAUCGAGGUGCCAUGAAUACUGCUUGGCUUGAAAUAAUUGGAGGCUGCAGGAAUGGAUGGUGUAGCGGUGAAAUGCAUAGAUAUCAUCCAGAACACCGAUUGCGAAGGCAGCUCACUAAGCACAUAUUGACGCUGAGGCACGAAAGCGUGGGGAUCAAACAGGAUUAGAAACCCUGGUAGUCC
RNAcentral lists this ribosomal RNA (445 nucleotides) under uncultured bacterium. RNAcentral's name for it is "partial 16S ribosomal RNA". It matches the Rfam family "Bacterial small subunit ribosomal RNA", at positions 354 to 796 of the family's 1533-position model. The record is from RNAcentral.